UGAUUCCGUCACACUAGAGUAGCAAGAGCACCAGCAACUUCCUGGUCUAAAAAGCAGAAAUGCAAACAGUGUCAGCAACACAGAAUGUUAAGUAACCAAUGUCAAAAACAAUACUCACCAUUAGAGCUUCUAGAGGAUGAAUCCAUUAUAUUUUUCUGUUGAUAGAUAUAUGGUUAGUACAAAGGCCUUCAAAUUCAGAGCAAAGUUCAGAGCAGGUUAAAGUGAACCAUUACCUUGCAGAAUCCUUCACUAGUGUUGGAUAUAUGCUUGGUGCACCAAUGCUAACAUAACCGUCCUUGGGAGCAUUUCCACUGUCAACAGGCAUUGCCUCCCUAGGAGUGUAGCUGAUUUGGGAGAAGACAGUUCUGCCAUUCUUGUAGUGCGAUUUGGAACUGUAGGAAGAGAUGGGGAUGACACCUGACUGUUCAAUGCUGGCCUGAGAACUACCAGAGGCAUCUUCAGUGCUUUCGUAGUGCUUCUGUUGAGACAAUGGGGCCAGUUGCUGCUGGGAAAUUUGGGCUACAUGCCAUAAUUGCUGAUGAAUGGGGUUGGGUAGCUGCUGGGCCAUUUGAGCUGGAUACCUCACUUGCUGAGGCUCGACUGCCAGUUCCUUCUGCUGGGGAAAUUGAGAUGGAUGCCACACAAGCGGAGGCUGCUGGAGAAUGGAGGCCUGUAGCUUCUGUGGCAUGGCGGUCAGCUCCUUCUGUUGAGGUUCAGUGGCCGGUUGCUUCUGCUGCAGGGGAUUUUGAGCUGGAUGCCACGCUUGCUGGGGCGUGGUGGAUGGUUGCUUCUGCUGAGUUUGCUGGGCUAUGGUGGUUGGUUCCUUCUGCAGUAGAGGCAUAGGGGCCAGUUGCUUCUGCUGGGGAAUCUGAGCAGGAUGCCAUGCUUCCUGGGGCACGGGGGUCGUUUGCGUCUGCUGCAGAGGCAUUUGAGAAGGAUGCCACACUUGCUGGGGCACGGCGGUCGGUUGCUUCUGCUGCAUUUGAGCUGGAUGCCACACUUGCUGGGGCACGGCGGUCGGUAGCUUCUGCUGCAGGGGCUUUUGAGCAGGAUGCCACACUUGCUGAGGCGAGGCGGGUGAUUGCUUCUGCAGCAUUUGAUUAGGAUGCCACACUUGCUGGGGCACGGCGGUCGGUGGUUCUGUCAGCAUGUGAGCUUGAUGCCACACUUGCUGGGGCACAGUUGUCGCUUGCCUCUGCUGCUGAGCUUCUGCGGCACGUUGCUUCUGAUGCAGGGGCAUUUGACCUGGAUACCACACUUGCUGAGGUUGCCGGGACAUGGGGGCCAGUUCUUUCCGCAGGAUGGCGGCCGGAUGUUUCUGCUGCGCUUGCAUUUGAGAUUUAUAAUUGCCAUAUCCUAGAGACCGAAGUGAUCCUGCAUAGAGCCAUGCUGCAUUAGAAUCCAGUGCAGGAGACCAAUCACCUAGGUUAAAAAUAUAAACUGUAAAAUGCCAGCCUUUGAAAGUUAUGGAACUGCGUAGCUGUUAUUUGAAAUGAACUCACCUUCUGAUGUAGAACACGUUAUCCCUCCAAUUAGCAGGCAACAAAGCCAAGAAACGCUUAAGGAAAAAUGAUGUGUUAUAAACAUA
Molecule: long non-coding RNA, 1588 nt
Organism: Oncorhynchus tshawytscha (Chinook salmon)
Lineage: Eukaryota; Metazoa; Chordata; Actinopteri; Salmoniformes; Salmonidae
Source: Ensembl